GUCAAUGGAGAUCUGCAUUAAGAGGCAUCGCUUAGUCUAGGACUUAACCCAUGUCUAUGAAACCGUUCUUAGUGUAGUAAUUGUUCAUUCGUCUUCCUUGCUGUUUCUGUGAGCUCUGUUAUGUUGAACACAUUAUAUUACAUUUAAACAAGGGCAUAUAGCCUUAAUAGAAAAGUUUAAACCUGUAUUGCUGUAAUUAAUUUAAUGGCUGUUGCAUGUUAAGCCAGUCACUUCUGUUUGCUGGUCGUGACACAUGUUGAGAGAUUUUAUAGUCUAAUAAUUGUAUUUUAUAUCCCCACGUAGGUUGUACUGAAGCCCUCUGAGCCAGUAACAAUGACACAGCACUGCAUUAUGCAACCACACAGUUGCAUUACUAUUCCAGUCUGCACCCUUUUCCCAGAUGGGAACACCAGUCGUCCCACAGAUACACGGAGGCCGAGCAGCAGUGGCAUAAGCCAAGGACUAUGGCAAAAUGACCAUCACCAAGCCCACCGAAAAGCGAAUGGCAGAAGGAGGGAUUAGAAGUACACUCUACAGCUCCCUUCUUGGACCGCUCCUUGACCUCUCAGUUCUCCUGAUAGAUGAUGCAUACAAUAACUUUGACCUUGUAUCCAAGCCAUUGAUCUGCAGCAUGGGGAUGUCUGCUGAAAAGCUUUUAGUCGAUUCACUUACCAGCAGCCUCCAAUCAAUACGCGACACAUAGUUCACCAUAAGGAGACACCACCAUUCCCUUCACUGCUACAGACUGGAGAGCAACAUUCAAGGCUGCACAUUUGUGCUCAGAGAUGAAGACCAGCUUCAUAUAUAGUCUCUUCAGGCGAGCUUCGCAACAGCCAUAAAAUAGAGGAAACUACUAGAGAACAGAGUGCUGUCUGACUGGCAGGGGCUCUGGAAACCAAGAAUGACCUAGUCACGGUUCCGAGAGGCUUGCCAUGUGACAGGGCUGACAUCCGCAGACAAUCUAGCUGAAAGGAUCCUCAAAGGCACAGCACCAACAGCUGACAUGAAUUAAUAAAUAAAUUAUUUGAAAUAAUGAUGUUACAUUUUUUCUGUUUUCUUGUCACUGUAAAUAAAAAGUCUUUACAACA
Long non-coding RNA from Oncorhynchus nerka (sockeye salmon), 1088 nucleotides. RefSeq lists it as uncharacterized. The record is from RefSeq and is a predicted model, not a curated record. The transcript is spliced from 3 exons. Lineage: Eukaryota; Metazoa; Chordata; Actinopteri; Salmoniformes; Salmonidae.